GUGUAUGGGGCGGACGCUGAUGCAGCCAUGCCGCGUGAGUGAGAAGGCCUUCGGGUUGUAAACCUCUUUUUUCAGGGAAGAUAGUGACGGGACCUGUACAGUAUUGCCCGGACCUUUCCAUGCCAGCACCCCCGGUUAUGUACCAUCGCCGCGGUAAUAUAAUAACGUAGUGGGUCUGACAUUCCGGCCGUAUGCUACCGCUCAGGCCUGACAGACUGCUUGUUUUGAGGGGAGGUUUCAUCCAGUUCCGGCAGCCGCGUUUAUACCCUUUAUCCUGCAUAUGGACGCAGGGUUACAUCCCUGGCCGCCGCUGGAGACUAUAAGUAGGGUCGGGGGUGGGUUUGG
RNAcentral lists this ribosomal RNA (345 nucleotides) under uncultured Chloroflexota bacterium. RNAcentral's name for it is "uncultured Chloroflexi bacterium partial 16S ribosomal RNA". Lineage: Bacteria; Bacillati; Chloroflexota. The record is from RNAcentral.